ACGGGGGGUGAGUACAAAGGGAUGCGAAACCGUUAGGUGGAGCAAAUCCAAUAAAGCUCGUCUAAGUUGGGAUUGAAGUCUGCAACUCGACUUCAUGAACCUGAAAUCGCUAGUAAUCGUAUAUCAGAAUGAUACGGUGAAUACGUUCCCGGACCUUGUACACACCCCCCG
Molecule: ribosomal RNA, 171 nt
Filed under: uncultured archaeon
Lineage: Archaea
Description: partial 16S ribosomal RNA
Rfam family: Bacterial small subunit ribosomal RNA
Source: RNAcentral